This 1971-nucleotide ribosomal RNA is filed under the name Triticum aestivum (bread wheat). RNAcentral describes it as "partial small subunit ribosomal RNA". Lineage: Eukaryota; Viridiplantae; Streptophyta; Magnoliopsida; Poales; Poaceae. The record is from RNAcentral.
AUGAUCCCGGCCGUCCCGGCGAUCGUGGACGGCGGCUUCCACGCCGCCCAGAGCGCGAAAGCGCCGCUGCUUCCGGAGACCAACCUCAAGGGUGGCCGUCCUCCGGCACGGCAGAAGCGCCCGUCGACCGUUCUCCCGGCCAUCGCGUGGACCGUGCUCCUUCUCGCGCUCGCCGGGCUCGUUGUCUACAGACAACGGCAUGGCGACGGCCAGGCCGCCGCGCCGGGAGACCAGGUCGCGGCAGCGGGCCGCGCCGUGGAGGUGGCCGCCUCCCGCGGCGUCGUGCAGGGCGUGUCGGAGAAGUCCACCGCCCCGGCGCUCCUCGGCGGCGGCGCCUACGACUGGACCAACGCGAUGCUGGCGUGGCAGCGCACGGCGUUCCAUUUCCAGCCCCAGAAGAAUUGGAUGAACGAUCCCAACGGUCCACUGUAUUACAAGGGAUGGUAUCACCUCUUCUACCAGUGGAACCCGGACGGGGCGGUGUGGGGGAACAUCACGUGGGGCCACGCCGUGUCGCGCGACCUCGUCCACUGGCUCCACCUGCCGCUGGCCAUGGUGCCCGACCACUGGUACGACAUCAAUGGCGUCUGGACCGGCUCGGCGACGCAGCUCCCCGACGGCCGGAUCGUCAUGCUCUACACCGGCUCCACGGAGGACGGCGUGCAGGUGCAGCUCCUGGCCGAGCCGGCGGACCCGUCCGACCCGCUGCUGCGGCGCUGGGCCAAGUCGGAGGCGAACCCCGUGGUGGUGCCGCCGCCGGGCGUCGGGCUGACGGACUUCCGCGACCCGACGACGGCGUGGCUCAACCCGGCCGACAAGGCCUGGCGGAUCACCAUCGGGUCCAAGAACCAGGAGCACGCCGGGCUGGCGCUGGUGUACAGGACGGAGGACUUCGUGCACUACGACCUGCUGCCCACGCUGCUGCACGUCGUGCAGGGCACCGGGAUGUGGGAGUGCGUGGACUUCUACCCGGUGUCCGCCGACCCGGCCGCCGGCGUGGGGCUCGACACCUCCGCCGCGCCGGGGCCCGGGGUGAAGCACGUGCUCAAGACCAGCCUCGACGACGACCGGAACGACUACUACGGCAUCGGCACCUACGACCCCGCGACCGACCGGUGGGCGCCGGACGACGCGGCGAUCGACGUCGGGAUCGGGCUCCGGUACGACUACGGCAAGUUCUACGCGUCCAAGACGUUCUACGACCCCGUGGGGCGGCGGCGCGUGCUGUGGGGGUGGAUCGGCGAGUCCGACAGCGAGCGCGCCGACGUGCUCAAGGGCUGGGCGUCCCUCCAGUCAUUCCCGAGGACGGUUCUCCUGGACACCAAGACGGGCAGCAACUUGCUGCAGUGGCCGGUGGUGGAGGUGGAGAACCUGCGCAUGCGCGGCAAGCGCUUCGACGGCCUCGACCUGCAGCCCGGCUCCGUCGUGCCCCUGGACGUCGGCAGAGCAACACAGUUGGACAUCGAGGCGGUCUUCCAGGUGCAGGCGGGCGCGGCGGCGGGGGCGGAGGCGCCGUACAACUGCAGCGCGAGCGCCGGCGCGGCGGGGCGGGGCUUGCUCGGCCCGUUCGGGCUGCUCGUGCUGGCCGACGACGGCCUGUCGGAGCAGACCGCCGUCUACUUCUACCUGGUCAGGGGCGCGGACGGGAAGCUCAGCACCCACUUCUGCCAAGACGCCUUCAGGUCAUCGAAGGCGAACGAUCUUGUCAAGGCCGUUUACGGCAGCUCCGUCCCUGUGCUCGACGGAGAAGAUCUGUCGGUGAGAAUACUGGUCGAUCAUUCCAUCGUGGAGAGCUUUGCUCAGGGCGGGAGGACAUGCAUCACAUCGCGCGUGUACCCUACGAAGGCAAUCUACGACUCUGCCAGAGUUUUCUUCUUCAACAACGCUACAAAUGUUAACGUCACCGCAAAAUCGAUCAAGAUCUGGGAGCUGAAUUCGGCCUACAUCCGUCCAUAUCCAUAUUCAUCAUAA